This 356-nucleotide ribosomal RNA is filed under the name uncultured eukaryote. Its description in RNAcentral is "partial 18S ribosomal RNA". It matches the Rfam family "Eukaryotic small subunit ribosomal RNA", at positions 592 to 976 of the family's 1831-position model. The record is from RNAcentral.
CAAUAGCGUAUAAUAAAAUUGUUGCAGUUAAAACGCUCGUAGUUGAAUAUCUGGGGUGAAAGGCCGGUCCGCUUCGGUGUGUACCGCGUCCUCUUCACAUCAUCCGUUUGCGUUUGCUUCGGCAUCUGCAAACCGUUCACUUUGAGGAAAUUAGAGUGUUCAAAGCAGGCUAACGCCUUGAAUACUUCAGCAUGGAAUGAUUGUUAGGACACCCGUCCUAUCAGUUGGUUCUAGGGGCGAGUGUAAUGAUUAAUAGGGUCGGUCGGGGCAUUCGUAUUGAACAGCUAGAGGUGAAAUUCUUAGAUUUGUUCAAGACGAACCACUGCGAAAGCAUUUGCCAAGUACGUACCCAUUAA